Molecule: ribosomal RNA, 259 nt
Filed under: uncultured bacterium
Lineage: Bacteria
Description: partial small subunit ribosomal RNA
Rfam family: Bacterial small subunit ribosomal RNA
Source: RNAcentral
AGGACGAAUGCUGGCGGCGUGCUUAACACAUGCAAGUCGAACGGUGAAGGAGAGCUUGCUCUCCGGAUCAGUGGCGAACGGGUGAGUAACACGUGGGCAACCUGCCCCUCGCUCCGGGAUAAACCUCGGGAAACCGAAGCUAAUACCGGAUACGACCCGGUGCGACAUCGCACUGGGUGGAAAGAAUUUCGGCGAGGGAUGGGCCCGCGGCCUAUCAGCUAGUUGGUGAGGUAACGGCUCACCAAGGCGACGACGGGUA